This 349-nucleotide unclassified non-coding RNA is filed under the name Hevea brasiliensis (rubber tree). The record is from RNAcentral. Lineage: Eukaryota; Viridiplantae; Streptophyta; Magnoliopsida; Malpighiales; Euphorbiaceae.
CCAUCAGCAACCCACAUCAAAAACAAUAAGAAGAAGAAGAAGAAAAUGAUAGCUGUGGCAGUCAUGGCGGAGCUUUUAGAAGAAUACAUGUUGGCUCUGGCGAGAUUUACAGAGCGGAGAAGAAGCGUUUAUAGGUUUAAUGGGCUAAGGAAUUUUCGUUUGGGUUCUUCGUCUUCCAUCUUCACCGAAGACUCCUCUUCUUUCAUUGUUUAUUUCUGAUGAUCAUAAUGCCUCCAAACGCCAUCCUUUUCUUGAUUUCUUCUUUCCCAUAUUUUAUUUUUCGCAUUAAUUAGUUCUUUAUAUUUUUUGUUCUUGCUUAAUGAAGUUUAUUUCUCAAUAUUUUUUUUUA